Molecule: long non-coding RNA, 2667 nt
Organism: Planococcus citri (citrus mealybug)
Lineage: Eukaryota; Metazoa; Arthropoda; Insecta; Hemiptera; Pseudococcidae
Exons: 3
Source: RefSeq, a predicted model, not a curated record
AGGUAGGUUCGUAAACAUUAAAAUUCCAAUCAUUUAAAUUUUACGAAGGCAUAUCAAAAACUUCACAAACACUCGUAGAUUUCGUAUAGUGGACAAAUUAAAAGUCCUGUGCUCAAAUAUUGACGAAAAAUAUCAUUUCGAUACCUACAUAUUACCGAUUAUUAUUGAAUUAGCAAGAUGAAAGUUGCAUUCGUUAUUACAAUUUCGGUAUACAUUUUUUGUAUGUUGCUGUUCAGUGCAUCAAAUAUCAGGGAAAUAGCUGCUCGUGAUAUUCCUCAAAAUAAUACGAUGUGUUCCCCUGAACAACCAUGUAUGAGAAUGUCACGAAAAUACCCAUUGCGUCAAUGAGCCGAACCAUGGAAAACUAUAAGAAUUUACUUUUUUUUAAUAUUAGUUUUUAUCCUACUACCUAGAUGGAAUAAAACGCCACUUUAUUCACACUCGCUAGUCGCUCGAGUGAUCAAAUGCACGUUUCAUGAUACGAAUAAAUAAUAUUUGAAAAUUGAUUGAUAUAUGUAUCUUCGAGUAGGUGUAGUUGAUUUUAUAGCUAAAUACCUACCUUACAAAUUAUUGAUCGUUAUAUUCUAACAUUCGUAAGAACUUGGAACAGAAUAAUAAUGAAAUAGAAUUGAAGAUUCCAGUACCUACAUUUCCCCGGAUCGAUUCUGCCGAAUACGUUUUUGCCGGACUACCAAAAUCCCCAGUAAUAAAAUCCCUAAUCGAUUUUCCGGAAUAACUUUUGUGCUGCUUUAUGAUCCAAAAUGCCACAAUCCCGGAUUAUAAAUAUGUAUCCGAAAUUGAAAAUUCCAAAUGCGGUAAAAUCUUGAGUGGAUUAUUGAUGUUCUAACUUUUCUCCAUGUCAUGGAAAAUGGCGGAUUUUUUUAAUCUGUUACAUCAACGCCAAGAUUAGUUUUGAUUAAGAGUCGGAAAAUUUUGAAAAAAAUUGAAAAAUUGUCUAAAAGAGGAAAAAAAAGACCCAAUAAUUUUUUAAACAAGAAAAUCUCCUUUGAAUGCAACACGCAGUACAAUUUAGAAGGGGCGGGGAGAGGAGUAUAAUAAAAAUUGAAAAUACAGAAUUAAGGGGUGAAUGGGAUGUGUGUCUUUCAUCAUUAGUUAUUAACCAUCCGAAAAAUUGAAAAAAUGCACUCAUUUGAAAAUUAUUGAAGCAUUUAAUGAAUUUGUGAGAACUAAAGAAUUUUUUCAAUAAAAUUACGUUGAAGUAGAAUUUUAAGAAACGAGAAAGCGCAAUAAAACCCGAGAACAUGGUUCGGUUUCAUUGGUCGUUCCAAUUUUUACCACAAAAAUUACUCAAACUUUGGUGGCCGAAAUUAGGGCACCCUAUAAUACGUAGGUACAAAAAUGUUGGAAAAUUUGUCAACCUUUUUGUUGAUGGAACGAAAUAUUGACCGAACGGUAGGUAAUAAUAUAUACAAACAUUUUUGCUUUGAAGCAUGAGAUGUGGCAUAGAAUUUUUUUAUAUCUUGGAAAAAAAUAAAUAGGUAUUUUACCACUUUAUCGGAUGUUGUAAUGGGCUAUGAUGAUGAACAUGGAGAGACAUACUUGAUGAAAACAAAAACACAAAUCCACAGCAUAAAUGAAAUGAAAGACUGAACUCACAGAUGAAUUUUUAUUUUUGUAUAUUUUCAUCAGUAUUUCUCUCAUUCACUUUUUUGGAAAAAAAUUCAUAAGAAAUCAAGGAGAUAUUUUGGGACUUAUGGUUUGAGCUCCAUUGUGCACACCUAUAGGUACAUUAAUUACAACUCACUUGUAUGAAGUGCAACAAUCAAUUUGGAUAGUCGAUAAUAGGGCACUGUACCUUUAUUUUAUAUGAGUGUAGGCAACUUCUCAUUGGUAGAAUAAUAAUUAAUUCAUUAAAUUAACAAAAAUUCAAUUACUCGUAAUUCUCUUGCGUAAUAAUUACCUACCUAACCUGCCAACUUCAUUUAGGCAGGUUCUUAAGUACUAAAAAUUCAAUUACCUAUUUACAUUUUACUAUCGUACCUUUCAUGUAUUCUUACGUACCUAAUUGAAAAAAUGUUGUUCUUAUAUUAUAUCAAAAAUCAUAUAAACAGUCGUACAUUUCGUAGUGGACAAAUUAAAAGUUGUGUGCUCGAAUAUUGAUGAAAAAUAUCAUUUAGUUACCUAUUACCGAAUAUUAUUGAAUUAGCAAGAUGAAAGUGACAUUCGUUAUUACAUUUUCGGCGUUCAUUUUUUGCAUUUUGCUGUUCAGUGCAUCAAAUAUCAGGGAAACGUAUGCUCGUCAUCAUAUCAUUAGUCCAGAUCUGAUCAUGGAUACAGACGAUACAGUGGAACACCACAAAGGGGUCCCUAUAGGUCCGGGUCAUCCUCUCGGAGGGUUACCUGUGGGUCUUGUUCGGGGAAGAAGAAAAAGAAAGGCUGUCAUGUAGCCACUGUGGGACUAUAUUAGGGUAGCCUGGGACCCCUCUGGGUCAAGUGGAAGAACGACAGUUUGCUCAUUACUAUCAGCAAAGUUGGUGACACUGCAACACUCACGGUUUUCUGUUUCACUAUCCGUUUCAUGUUCUCUAAAUAAAUGAAAAAUUUUCAAAGUCCUGUCACGCACUAACUUCCUGUAGGUACCACUGUCUGUAGUUAUAAUUAAUAUAAUUUUGGUUGUUUCUGAAAAUAAAAUUAUAAAAAAUUCAA